Long non-coding RNA from Dinoponera quadriceps, 350 nucleotides. RefSeq lists it as uncharacterized. The record is from RefSeq and is a predicted model, not a curated record. NCBI's taxonomy places the organism in Eukaryota, Metazoa, Arthropoda, Insecta, Hymenoptera, Formicidae. The transcript is spliced from 3 exons.
GUUGCCUCGUCACAUUGUAGUUAGGCGGCUCGUAUAAAGGCGUUACGCGGAACUUUCAGCGCACGGGCCGACUCGAAAGUCUCCGGCGAAUCCCCCGGCCGAUGAUCUGCUGCUGCUCGUUGCUCCGUUGGAAUCGUCCGAGAGUACCCCGAGCCGAACGGCGCGAGCAAGGUGGAAUCUAGUUAUAGCAGAGUUUGCGGCUGCCCGACGCAGAUGCAGGUCUGGAGGAUGCAGUUUUGGCGGAUGCGGUUGCAGCACCAGAGGAUCCGGUUCGGGCCGAGCAGGAUCGACUCAAAGAUCUGAGUAGCUGGCUCUGAGUUUGAGCGUUUUUUAUCGGUGAGUGAGAAAAA